RNAcentral lists this small nucleolar RNA (128 nucleotides) under Myripristis murdjan (pinecone soldierfish). RNAcentral describes it as "Small nucleolar RNA SNORD22 (ENSMMDG00005019615.1)". It matches the Rfam family "Small nucleolar RNA SNORD22". Rfam says of the family: U22 is a member of the C/D class of snoRNA which contain the C (UGAUGA) and D (CUGA) box motifs. U22 is encoded within the U22 snoRNA host gene (UHG) in mammals and has also been identified in Xenopus. Lineage: Eukaryota; Metazoa; Chordata; Actinopteri; Holocentriformes; Holocentridae. The record is from Rfam by way of RNAcentral.
UCUGUGUGAUGACACCCGCACGCGUCUUACGCCCUGUGUAAAUGCCAGAACCUGAAAAGGUGAACCCACUGGCGUUGCCUUGGCAAUAAGGUGAAGACCCGUUGGGGUUACCAACAGUCUGAAUGGAA